Molecule: ribosomal RNA, 253 nt
Filed under: uncultured bacterium
Lineage: Bacteria
Description: partial 16S ribosomal RNA
Rfam family: Bacterial small subunit ribosomal RNA
Source: RNAcentral
GGCGUAGGGCGCGAGCGUUGUCCGGAUUUAUUGGGCGUAAAGAGCUCGUAGGCGGCUUGUCGCGUCGACUGUGAAAACCCGCGGCUCAACCCCGGGCCUGCAGCCGAUACGGGCAGGCUAGAGUGUGGUAGGGGAGAUUGGAAUUCCUGGUGUAGCGGUGAAAUGCGCAGAUAUCAGGAGGAACACCGAUGGCGAAGGCAGAUCUCUGGGCCAUUACCGACGCUGAGGAGCGAAAGCGUGGGGAGCGAACAGG